UAUUCGGUGUUCUCUGUGGCUGGGUUCCAGAAAGUUUGGUGAAUGGGAGUGGUUGGUAGGGUUUUGGGGUCUCUAAUGGUUGAAGAAGGAAGACGAUCUCUGAUUGAGGGAGGGGGAGAGGGAGUCGUGUUUAUGGCUGUUGUGUUCGGUCUUGGAGUUCUAAGGUUCUUGUUGUUUUUUCAUGAAAAGAAGCUAUGAAGAAGAAGCUAAGUUUUCUCGGGAUUUGAAGAAGACCUAGGCGUUAGUCUAGGAUCCCCUUUUCAGGUGUUAGAGUAGGC
RNAcentral lists this long non-coding RNA (278 nucleotides) under Nicotiana benthamiana. RNAcentral's name for it is "long non-coding RNA (NBEN_LNC002700)". Lineage: Eukaryota; Viridiplantae; Streptophyta; Magnoliopsida; Solanales; Solanaceae. The record is from RNAcentral.